UUGUGUAGAUGGAACUGCCCUUCACUGACUUUGAGCUGACCUUCAUUAUCGUCGCCUUCGUCGUCUUCUCUCUCUUCAGCAUGGCUUCGAUCUUCAUCCAGCCAGAAAAAGAUGUCGAUGAAGCAAAGGCGUCGAGACCAUUGAACCGAAGGCAAAGAGUGAUCACAAAGCAAGCUGGACAGAGGCCAUGAAGUAAAGUCAGAAUUCUUGAUCUGCUGGGUCAAAACUACCCAAAAGUACAUGAAAUGAUUAGUUAAAUGAGUAUUCAAAUUAGCACCAAAGGACCAGCUACAACAGUAAAUGCCAUUUCCACAUGAUGUUAACAUCAGUAUAAAUUAUUUCAUAAUUUAUAUGAAUAUAACACUCAAACAAAUGAUUUCUCUGCAUCAAGUACUUUCGGCCCAUAAAGCAUAUUUGCUUACAAUACUUGCACAGACAUUUUUAGUUCAGGACUUUGUCUUGUGAUUCAGUUUACUCUACAUUGUCAUAUUGCUAAAGGAUCUGAAUGCUUCUUUCACCACCAGGUCAUUCAAAUCUGGGGUGUUGCAAAUGUGAGUGACUCUUUUGAAAACUCUGGUUUAAAGGCCUGGGGGGACUCUGUGAAGUUAUCCUUAUUGAUCAGUAGCCAUUAACAAGCUUAGUUUAGGGGAUUCAAAUCUAAUAGCGCUCAUCUGAUGUUUUUCUCCCUUUCCACUAACAUGGAUCACUGAGAUUUGGAAAUGUUCUUCCGAUGAGGUUGCACUGCUCACUUUCUCGCAGAAUGCAUUUGACAAUAAUCCACAAAGCGCUUGCUCUUUAGCCCCAUCUGCAGUGCUCAUCAAAAACAACAUCAACACUACUCUAAUACCACUGAAAAAAAGACCCAGCCAGGUAGAACCCAAGUUAGAUGAGACCAAGCGCAAACUUCUGCAGAACUUGAUCAAAUAUGUUGUGUAUUUUAAGUAGUUGUAUCUACAGGACAUUCAGAACCGUACUGCAGUGCAAAGCAUGGACGCAGGGUUUGUGUGUCCAUUGAAGCCGCUGUGUCUGGUUUAGGAUUAAACAAAACAAAAGUGACUUUUGGCCCCUGAAGUCAUUGUGGGGUGACAUCCUGGGGGGUUAGAGCCUGCUCCCUGUUGAGUUUGCCCCCUGACCCCUGAGCCCUCCGUCACUCCUCCACAGUCAGCCGUCUAGUUGCCAACACGGAGAAGGGGAGGAGGACCGCCAGAAAAAAAGACGGAGUGAAUCGACUGUUGUGAGAUCUCUUUUCUUUACAGAUCUAAAAAAGAAAAAAAAACGCCCGGCUCAUUUGUGUUGUGAUUCAGGCAGUGUGAUGUGUCCUGAUGAUCCACUAUACAAUCACUGUGUGUGUCUGUGUAUUGCCUGUUCACUGCUGUUUAUGUGUAUAUGUGCAUCCAUUGAGGUCUGUAUUGGCCAAUUGCAGAUAAAGGGUCUUAAGAGUAAUUAAGCUCUAGGCUGGCUGCGGCCCCUCAUUAACAGUGAAGACCUUUGGCAUGACAAGAGAGACACUAUCACUCUAACGAUGGACAACGAACUGACCCAUCAGAUCACCAUCAACACUCGUACGCACACACACAGACACUGGACAACGCCCUAAAAUGUCAGACAACCUGGCACACCUCUGCUCCGGUGUAGAGUCAAUGCAACUUUGGUUUUAUCUCCGUGGCUAUGGCAGUCGGUUCAAUUGCUUACAACAGCACUGCACUCUGCACUGAAAAAUUAAUGCUCAGAUAUCGGGCCGUGUCAACAUCACAAAAAAUUGGUCGAUACUCGGCAACAAACUAAAAACUUAACUAGCAAAAUGCAGAUGUUACCAUCAUGCAUGACACAGAGUUAAUGAAAGAGGGUUUGAUAAUGGAUCGCAGGUAUGGAUUAAAUCCUCUAUCAUGGUAAAUGUAAUUUCAUAUCACAAUGUCAAUGAGGAAAAGCUGUAAAAAAACUGCAACUAUAAAGUUGAUGCUAGUGGCAUUGACAUUUUUUCGCUAAUUAGUUAUUUUUCUGACCAACAGUGCAAAACGCUAUAUAUUAGUUGCGAUAUCAUUAAAUAUACAGAAAUGCAGAACAUUUGACCAUAUUACCAUACAGCAGUACUGUUGUCUACAAAGGAAUAACUGCCAUUGUACAAAUAAUAAAAGUCAGAGCAACAUCAAAGACGGUAGACAAAUAUAUCGUGGUAUCAAGCAACACCGAUUUGAAUUACAUGACAUGAUCACGAGAUUUGAAUCCAACUGGACACUGGAUAUUUUUUGGACUGACAUGCUUGACAGCUCCCUCCUCAACCCCACAACAAUACAACAAAUGUUUUGGAUAAAUUAUGUUCCCUCCCCUCCAAUUGAAAAUCUAUUGUAAAAAUGAGUACAGAGGCUGUUUUGGAGGCUGGCGAUGGCUGAACACUUUGCUAAAAAACUUUAUGUUGGUCACCCAUCAGUAUGCCUCAUAUAAAGCUCUUUGCACGUUAAGCAUACAGUAUGUGCAUACAUGCAACAAUGUCCAGCUGAGUGUAAAGGAAGACAGUCACUUUAUGACCCACUGUUCCUCUUAGCAAGUUUUAUCAGAGAGGAAGUUCUUUAUCAGUAGAUCCUGGUGAAGAGAAGAUGGGAGAGGAAGAAGAAAGUGAAAUUUCAAGAGGGGAGGGGAGGAGAGGCUGAAGCUUCCUCUGUGGUCAUAAAGAUCACAGCUACUGGGAAGACCAUGACAACUUUCACAGCAGCAAUAACACCAGCUCUGCAGUCCAACUCUGUCCUGGGUUACACACUAAUCCAAAAUGAUUUCAAAAAGUAUCCAACUGACAAAAAGAAAAAAAGCUAAAGCAUACUAUUCUUCUUGUAGGCGGUCAGAAAACAAUGUGAUCAUUUGAACCAUUUUUUAUAUGCAGCAGACUAGGGCUGCUACUAACGAUUAUUUUCAUUAUCUAAUAUUUUCUUGUCCAUAAAAUGAUGAAAAAUGUUGAUUGUGUUUUCCAAACCUUGAGAUGAUGUUUGUUUUUGUUCAAACACAAAAUAUAUUUUGUAUACUGUCAUAGAGUAGCAAAGAAACCAGAAAAUAUACAACUAAAUAUCCAUUUAAGAAGCUGAUAUCUUAGAAUUUUCCCAUAACAACCACUAAAAGCGAUUAUCAAAAUAGUUGGCGAUUAAUUUAGUAGUCAAUUACUAAUGGAUUAAUCGAUUAACUGUUGCAACUCUGCAGCAGACAUUUUCAUGUCGAAUAUUGAUUUUCACCUGCCAGUAAAUCCUGUGCACACUACUCGUUGGGUUCAAUUGCACAUUAACUUGAAAAGAUCUUGAGGCGAACAACUCUCAUUACAAAUGGUCCGAUCUAUACUUCCGCUGCAUACUGUGUGUGAGAUUUUGUGACACAAAUGUCAAUAAAAAAAGUUUCCACAACCAAA
This is a long non-coding RNA of Scophthalmus maximus (turbot), 3388 nucleotides long. RefSeq lists it as uncharacterized. The record is from RefSeq and is a predicted model, not a curated record. NCBI's taxonomy places the organism in Eukaryota, Metazoa, Chordata, Actinopteri, Pleuronectiformes, Scophthalmidae. The transcript has 2 exons.